Non-coding RNA from Camelina sativa (false flax), 261 nucleotides. Lineage: Eukaryota; Viridiplantae; Streptophyta; Magnoliopsida; Brassicales; Brassicaceae. The record is from RefSeq and is a predicted model, not a curated record.
AUGUUUCCAGCUGUCUGCAGUUUAUCUGAUAACCAUCUUUGUAUCAGGUGAUAAAUGAUUUACUGGAUCCAACGGGCCAAAAUUUACGUGUUAGAGAGGAUUCCCAGGGCACUUAUGUUGAGGGUAUCAAGGAAGAAGUUGUAUUGUCUCCUGGCCAUGCACUAUCAUUUAUUGCAGCUGGGGAAGAACAUCGUCAUGUUGGUUCAAAUAAUUUCAAUUUGUUGAGCAGCAGAAGCCACACUAUAUUUACACUGGUACGUU